CACAUCGACGGGGAGGUUUGGCACCUCGAUGUCGGCUCAUCGCAUCCUGGGGCUGGAGCAGGUCCCAAGGGUAUGGCUGUUCGCCAUUUAAAGAGGUACGUGAGCUGGGUUCAAAACGUCGUGAGACAGUUUGGUCCCUAUCUGCUGUGGGCGUUGGAAGUUUGAGGGAGCCUGUUCCUAGUACGAGAGGACCGGAAUGGACACACCUCUGGUGUUUCGGUUGUGACGCCAGUCGCAUUGCCGAGUAGCUAUGUGUGGAAAGGAUAACCGCUGAAAGCAUCUAAGCGGG
RNAcentral lists this ribosomal RNA (289 nucleotides) under Alexandrium tamarense. RNAcentral describes it as "partial Bacterial large subunit ribosomal RNA". It matches the Rfam family "Bacterial large subunit ribosomal RNA", at positions 2501 to 2789 of the family's 2925-position model. Lineage: Eukaryota; Dinophyceae; Gonyaulacales; Pyrocystaceae. The record is from RNAcentral.